GAAAAACAGCUACUAGAGGUUGUUGUUUGUUGACUCACAUCACUGAAAAGACCAGGGUCUGAACUGGCUCACCUCAGGCUUGCCUAGAACCUGGGCUUCGUGACUCAGUUUUACUCCCUCUCUUCAUUCCAUCUUCUGCUGGGCUGGCAGAGUCAACUUUGAGCCCUGUUGCAAUGGUUCUUCUUCUAAGAAAAUGAUGACACCCGGCUUUGUAAAAGAAUUCUUUGCUCCCUGGAAUGUGAUGUACUGGAACAAGAUGCAUUUCCACGUCUGUAACAAAACAAAGAAAAACAAAAACACUUUUAGAGACUGUAAAAUAAUAAAAUUAUCAACUGCAACACCUCAGGGACGGCCCAGAUGCUCCUAUGGCCACGCACCUGCAGCAGGGACCUUCUCCCAGGUCGCCCCUACCGCCUGCCCAACUCGACCCCCGUCGUCUGCGCCUGCGCCCAGGCG
Molecule: long non-coding RNA, 456 nt
Filed under: Homo sapiens (human)
Lineage: Eukaryota; Metazoa; Chordata; Mammalia; Primates; Hominidae
Description: non-protein coding lnc-TMEM132C-6:10
Source: RNAcentral